AUGGGCUGGGCUGUGGUUCUCCUUGCACUUCUCACGUACUGCACAGGCAUUGAUGGUCAGCCCACCUGGUCUCAGCCUUCCUCCAGCUCUGUGUCUCUGGGAGAAACAGCUACACUCCCCUGCACGACUCAGAGUACCUACAACAUUGGCUGGUAUCAGCAGAAGUCUGGAGAAGGCCCUCGCUUUGUCCACUGCAGCAGCUGCAGCAACAGGGGACCAGGGAUCCCCGAUCGGUUCACUGCAACCCAGUCUGGGAGCAGUGGAUCCUUAGCCAUCACCAACGCCCAGGCUGAGGACGAGGCAGAUUAUUACUGUGGUAGUUGGAACAGUGCUGGUAACGCGUUGCACGGUGGUAGAUUCUUAUGGGGAAGUGUGACAGAAACCUUCACCUUUCGAGCUCAGCACAAAAGAGUCAACCGCAUCCUCUGA
Molecule: non-coding RNA, 429 nt
Organism: Candoia aspera
Lineage: Eukaryota; Metazoa; Chordata; Lepidosauria; Squamata; Candoiidae
Source: the annotation of a RefSeq genome assembly